GACGAACGCUGGCGGCGUGCUUAACACAUGCAAGUCGAACGGAAAGGCCCUGCUUUUGUGGGGUGCUCGAGUGGCGAACGGGUGAGUAACACGUGAGUAACCUGCCCUUGACUUUGGGAUAACUUCAGGAAACUGGGGCUAAUACCGGAUAGGAGCUCCUGCUGCAUGGUGGGGGUUGGAAAGUUUCGGCGGUUGGGGAUGGACUCGCGGCUUAUCAGCUUGUUGGUGGGGUAGUGGCUUACCAAGGCUUUGGCGGGUAGCCGGCCUGAGAGGGUGACCGGCCACAUUGGGACUGAGAUACGGCCCAGACUCCUACGGGAGGCAGCAGUGGGGAAUAUUGCACAAUGGGCGGAAGCCUGAUGCAGCAACGCCGCGUGCGGGAUGACGGCCUUCGGGUUGUAAACCGCUUUCGCCUGUGACGAAGCGUGGGUGACGGUAAUGGGUAAAGAAGCACCGGCUAACUACGUG
This 468-nucleotide ribosomal RNA is filed under the name uncultured bacterium. RNAcentral describes it as "partial 16S ribosomal RNA". It matches the Rfam family "Bacterial small subunit ribosomal RNA", at positions 28 to 507 of the family's 1533-position model. The record is from RNAcentral.